GUAGAUCAUCUGCCCUCAGGCCCGGGAUAGCUGCGGGAAACUGCAGGUAAUACCGGAUAACAUCUCCGGAUCAAAGGUGUGAUUCCGCCUGAGGAUGAGUCUGCAUCCUAUUAGCUAGUUGGCAGGGUAACGGCCUACCAAGGCAUUGAUGGGUAGCGGGUGUGAGAGCACGACCCGCGUCAUUGGGACUGAGACACUGCCCAGACACCUACGGGUGGCUGCAGUCGAGAAUCUUCGGCAAUGGGCGCAAGCCUGACCGAGCGACGCCGCGUGUGGGAUGAAGGCCUUCGGGUUGUAAACCACUGUCAGAGGGGAUGAAAUGCAGGUGGGUUCUCCCAUCUGUUUGACAUAGCCUCAGAGGAAGGACGGGCUAAGUUCGUGCCAGCAGCCGCGGUAAGACGAACCGUCCGAACGUUAUUCGGAAUCACUGGGCUUAAAGGGUGCGUAGGCGGCGCGGAAAGUUGGGUGUGAAAUCCCUCGGCUCAACCGAGGAACUGCGCCCAAUACUACCGUGCUC
This 517-nucleotide ribosomal RNA is filed under the name uncultured Planctomycetota bacterium. Its description in RNAcentral is "bacterial SSU rRNA". It matches the Rfam family "Bacterial small subunit ribosomal RNA", at positions 117 to 643 of the family's 1533-position model. Lineage: Bacteria; Pseudomonadati; Planctomycetota. The record is from RNAcentral.